Long non-coding RNA from Xiphophorus maculatus (southern platyfish), 1215 nucleotides. RefSeq lists it as uncharacterized. The transcript is spliced from 4 exons. The record is from RefSeq and is a predicted model, not a curated record. NCBI's taxonomy places the organism in Eukaryota, Metazoa, Chordata, Actinopteri, Cyprinodontiformes, Poeciliidae.
ACGAAAACAGAGCGAGAAGUUGGAGCUGCAGACACAGAAGAGGGAGUGGAGAGAAACCACCGAGCUCUAGCGUGGACUUUCCUCCACAGCUGUCCUCUGCUCCCAGUCUGUCCAGAGAGACACCAGGGAAAGUGGUGAUGUGGCUCUCCACCCAGGGCGGCAGUGGUCCGAGGGGCGCCUCAAAGAAUAGCAGAAAGUUGAAGGUAAAAACUCGCCAGAUGAGCCGGAUUCGAAGUCAAUCUAAAUUUCCGACAGCUUGGACUGAAAACCUGCCAGCAGAAGGUUCAAAGUCCAUGUUUGAUGUGAUGAUUGAAACCACCUGAAAACCGGCGAACGCGUCCACCGGAUACGAGAAGACAAGGUCGAAACGACGACACGCCGAGCGCCUCUGUAACGUGGAAAACAAAUAUCUGUUGUCAUCUUGACUCUGUAAAGAAAGGCAUGAGUUUUUGUGUGUCUAAAUAAAAAAAAAAGUAGGAUUGUUACAGUUCUGUUUUUCUUUUUUCUUUUUUACUGGAUCUGGAUAAUUAAAAGCCAAGUUUCAGCUACUGCAAAGUUUCCAAUGUGCAGUAACUCAGAGCAGCGGGAAGCUCCUCCCAUAUGGUGCUCCCAGCAGGAUAAAACAAACACAACUUCUGUUUGGCAGUAAUUCUGUGCAUCACAUCCCACACGCUGUACAGCAGUUUCAUCUGAGUUCAACGUAAAAUACAGCAGCAGGCAAAAUCUCCCCUCUAAAGACGUGGAUUUUGACUGGGUUGAUCCUGUGGAGUAUCAGCAAAAAACAUUCUACUGAGCAGCAACGUUGAAAGACACCGUAAGGCGUUCUCCUUACUUUUCACACAAUGAGUUUGUAGAAUCAUUUUAAUGCUAGGGCAUAAAAAAAAUGUCUCUUUGGGUGCAGAAAUAAUACUCUUGCACGUUCUGUCUUUAAAAUGAUCUAUUUCAGUCCAGACUCCUCUGAUUUUCAUUUUCUUAUUUGCUUUUGCUCUAAACCCACAGAUGAUGUCGUUCAUCGAUGCAUUUAAAGUGUUGCAUUUGAUCAAAUUCAUAGUCUGAUUAAAGCGGCUUAAAAAAGUUCGUUUUAAAGUCUCUUAAAUCUGAAUCAUAAGCAGAUUUUUUUUUCGCUGCCUUAAGCAACGCAGGGCGAAAAUCAAGUAAACAUUUGUUACAAAAACGUAACAUAAAUGUUUAGCACUGCCGUCAAAAACACGAGUU